UGAGCGACAGAUCCGCCCUAGUUCUACCAUAUACGAUGCCAGCUAGCGAUCCGCCGAUGUUCCUCCAAUGACUCGGCGGGCAGCUUCCGGGAAACCAAAGCUUUUGGGUUCCGGGGGAAGUAUGGUUGCAAAGCUGAAACUUAAAGGAAUUGACGGAAGGGCACCACCAGGAGUGGAGCCUGCGGCUUAAUUUGACUCAACACGGGAAAUCUCACCAGGCCCGGACACCGGAAGGAUUGACAGAUUGAUAGCUCUUUCUUGAUUCGGUGGGUGGUGGUGCAUGGCCGUUCUUAGUUGGUGGAGCGAUUUGUCUGGUUAAUUCCGAUAACGAACGAGACUCUAGCCUGCUAAAUAGGCGUAUUUUGGUAUCUUGAAAGGCCCUUGGUUUUCGGAUCAAGUGGUUUUUACUACCGACGUAUAUAUUAUCUUCUUAGAGGGACAGGCGGCUUCUAGCCGCACGAGAUUGAGCAAUAACAGGUCUGUGAUGCCCUUAAAUGUUCUGGGCCGCACGCGCGCUACACUGAAAGAAUCAACGUGUCUUCCCUGGCCGAAAGG
Molecule: ribosomal RNA, 555 nt
Filed under: Cotesia flavipes
Lineage: Eukaryota; Metazoa; Arthropoda; Insecta; Hymenoptera; Braconidae
Description: SSU rRNA
Rfam family: Eukaryotic small subunit ribosomal RNA
Source: RNAcentral